RNAcentral lists this ribosomal RNA (438 nucleotides) under uncultured bacterium. RNAcentral describes it as "bacterial SSU rRNA". It matches the Rfam family "Bacterial small subunit ribosomal RNA", at positions 28 to 478 of the family's 1533-position model. The record is from RNAcentral.
GAUGAACGCUGGCGGCGUGCUUAACACAUGCGAGUCGAACGAUUGAAGCUGGAGCUUGCUCCGGCCGAUUUAGUGGCGGACGGGUGAGUAACGCGUGGGUAACCUGCCUCAUACAGGGGGAUAGCAGUUGGAAACGACUGGUAAAACCGCAUAAGCGCACGGUAUCGCAUGAUACAGUGUGAAAACACUCCGGUGGUAUGAGAUGGACCCGCGUCUGAUUAGCUAGUUGGUGAGGUAACGGCCCACCAAGGCGACGAUCAGUAGCCGGCCUGAGAGGGUGAACGGCCACAUUGGGACUGAGACACGGCCCAAACUCCUACGGGAGGCAGCAGUGGGGAAUAUUGCACAAUGGGGGAAACCCUGAUGCAGCGACGCCGCGUGAGUGAUGAAGUAUUUCGGUAUGUAAAGCUCUAUCAGCAGGGAAGAUAAUGACGGUAC